UAGUCUCGCACAGAUGCAUAUCAAUAAGCGGAGGAAAAGAAACUAACAAGGAUUCCCCUAGUAACGGCGAGUGAAGCGGGAAGAGCUCAAAUUUGAAAUCUUAAAGGGUUUCCCUUUACGAAUUGUGGUUUAAAGAAGUGUUUUCUGUUGAGGUUUUGGUAAAAGUUCUUUGGAAUAGGACAUCAUAGAGGGUGAGAAUCCCGUAUUUGACCUUUACUUUCAACUUUGUGAUACACUUUCAAAGAGUCGGAUUGUUUGGGAAUGCAGUCCAAAAUGGGUGGUAAAUUUCAUCUAAAGCUAAAUAUUGGCGAGAGACCGAUAGCGAACAAGUACCGUGAGGGAAAGAUGAAAAGAACUUUGAAAAGAGAGUUAAACAGUACGUGAAAUUGUCAAAAGGGAAGCGUUUGACACCAGUGUUGUUUUUCUGAAAAUCAAUUAAAGAACUGUUUAUGCUAAGUUGUUUAGACUUUAUCAGCUAUCUGUUUAGUUUUGAGCUUUUCUUUAAUAGCACUUUUCAGUUAACAAGUCAACAUCAAUUUCUUUUGCUGUAAAAAAGCUUGAGGAAGGUGGCUUGAGAUUCGUCUUAAGUGUUUAUAGCCUCUUGCCUAUGCAGUCGGAGAGAUUGAGGUCUGCAGCGUAGAUCCUUCGGGGCUAAAUGCAUUUGUGCUAAGUUAUAGCAUUUUAUAGACAACUUGUUGACUAUGAUUUGUCUUGUAGCUUACUCGCUUAUGUUAUUUUACCUACGCUUAGGAUGUUGACGCAUGAGAUAUACGC
This 774-nucleotide ribosomal RNA is filed under the name uncultured Neocallimastigales. Its description in RNAcentral is "partial large subunit ribosomal RNA". It matches the Rfam family "Eukaryotic large subunit ribosomal RNA", at positions 24 to 646 of the family's 3401-position model. Lineage: Eukaryota; Fungi; Neocallimastigomycota; Neocallimastigomycetes; Neocallimastigales. The record is from RNAcentral.